RNAcentral lists this Y RNA (102 nucleotides) under Microcebus murinus (gray mouse lemur). Its description in RNAcentral is "Y RNA (ENSMICG00000044914.1)". It matches the Rfam family "Y RNA". Rfam says of the family: Y RNAs are components of the Ro ribonucleoprotein particle (Ro RNP), in association with Ro60 and La proteins. The Y RNAs and Ro60 and La proteins are well conserved, but the function of the Ro RNP is not known. The record is from Rfam by way of RNAcentral. Lineage: Eukaryota; Metazoa; Chordata; Mammalia; Primates; Cheirogaleidae.
AGCUGGUUCAAGUGGAGUGGUGUUUACAACUAAUUGAUCACAACCGGUUAUAGAUUCCUUUGUUCCUUGUCCACUCCCACUGCUUGACUUAACUAGCAAAAA